RNAcentral lists this ribosomal RNA (1569 nucleotides) under Xestoblatta festae. RNAcentral's name for it is "SSU rRNA". It matches the Rfam family "Eukaryotic small subunit ribosomal RNA", at positions 299 to 1805 of the family's 1831-position model. Lineage: Eukaryota; Metazoa; Arthropoda; Insecta; Blattodea; Blattellidae. The record is from RNAcentral.
UCAAAUGUCUGCCUUAUCAACUGUCGAUGUUAAGCUCUGCGCCUAACAUGGUUGUAACGGGUGACGGGGAAUCAGGGUUCGAUUCCGGAGAGGGAGCCUGAGAAACGGCUACCACAUCCAAGGAAGGCAGCAGGCGCGCAAAUUACCCACUCCCGGCACGGGGAGGUAGUGACGAAAAAUAACGAUACGGGACUCAUCCGAGGCCCCGUAAUCGGAAUGAAGUCACUGUAAAGACUUGCCUGAGUACCCAUUGGAGAGCAAGUCUGGUGCCAGCAGUCGCGGUAAUUCCAGCUCCAAUAGCGUAUAUUAAAGUUGUUGCGGUUAAAAAGCUCGUAGUCGGACUUGUGUCCGAUGCUGCCGGUUCACAGCCCGUCUGUGUUCUAACUGGCAUGUCCGUCAGGACGUCCUGCCGGUGGUCCGAGCCGCCUCCUGGUUCGCGGUUAUCGACCCGGUGGUCGGGGAGGGCCUGUUUCACCCGUUCGUGGUGCUCUUUACUGAGUGUCUCGUCGGGCCGGCAUGUUUACUUUGAACAAAUUAGAGUGCUUAAAGCAGGUUUGAUACUGCCUGAAUACUGAGUGCAUUGAAUAAUGGAACAGGACCUCGGUUCCGUUCUAUUGGUCUUUCGGAAAUUCCGAGGUAAUGAUCAAUAGGGACAGACGGGGGCAUUCGUAUUGCUACGCUAGAGGUGAAAUUCUUGGAUCGUAGCACGACGAACAAGAGCGAAGGCAUUUGCCAAGAAUGUUUUCCUUGAUCAAGAACGAAAGUUAGAGGUCCGAAGGCGAUUAGAUACCGCCCUAGUUCUAACCGUAAACGAUGCCAACUAGCAAUGCGCAGAUGUUCCUCCGAUGACUCUGCGCGCGGCUUCAGGGAAACCAAAGUUUUUGGGUUCCGGGGGAAGUAUGGUUGCAAAGCUGAAACUUAAAGGAAUUGACGGAAGGGAACCACCAGGAGUGGAGCCUGCGGCUUAAUUUGACUCAACACGGGGAAUCUCACCAGGCCCGGACACCGGGAGGAUUGACAGAUUGAUAGCUCUUUCUUGAUUCGGUGGGUGGUGGUGCAUGGCCGUUCCUAGUUGGUGGAGUGAUUUGUCUGGUUAAUUCUGAUAACGAACGAGACUCUAACCUACUAACUAGUCGUCUUCGACAUCCUUUGUGCUGUCGACGAAGAUUCUUCUUCUUAGAGGGACAGGCGGCUACAAGCCGCAUGAGAAAGAGCGAAAACAGGUCUGUGAUGCCCUUAGAUGUCCUGGGCCGCACGCGCGCUACACUGAAGGAAUCAGCGUGUUUUCUCUGUCCGAGAGGACCGGGUAACCAGUUGAAACUCCUUCGUGCUAGGGAUUGGGGAUUGCAAUUGUUCCCCAUGAACGAGGAAUUCCCAGUAAUCGCGAGUCAUGAGCUCGCGUUGAUUAAGUCCCUGCCCUUUGUACACACCGCCCGUCGCUACUACCGAUUGAAUGAUUUAGUGAGGUCUUCGGACGAGCGUACGCGGGGUUUCCGACUCCACGAUUUCGCUGGAAAGUUGACCGAACUUGAUCAUUUAGAGGAAGUAAAAGUCGUAACAAGGUAUUCG